GAAGGGGGGACGGAGAAGGCUAUGUUAGCCGGGCGACGGUUGUCCCGGUUUAAGCAUGUAGGCUGAUUGUCCAGGCAAAUCCGGAUAAUCAAGGCUGAGGUGUGAUGACGAGGCACUACGGUGCUGAAGUAACAAAUGCCCUGCUUCCAGGAAAAGCCUCUAAGCAUCAGGUAACAUUAAAUCGUACCCCAAACCGACACAGGUGGUCAGGUAGAGAAUACCAAGGCGCUUGAGAGAACUCGGGUGAAGGAACUAGGCAAAAUGGUGCCGUAACUUCGGGAGAAGGCACGCUGGUGUGUAGGUGAAGUCCCUGCGGAUGGAGCUGAGACCAGUCGAAGAUACCAGCUGGCUGCAACUGUUUAUUAAAAACACAGCACUGUGCAAACACGAAAGUGGACGUAUACGGUGUGACGCCUGCCCGGUGCCGGAAGGUUAAUUGAUGGGGUUAUCCGUAAGGAGAAGCUCUUGAUCGAAGCCCCGGUAAACGGCGGCCGUAACUAUAACGGUCCUAAGGUAGCGAAAUUCCUUGUCGGGUAAGUUCCGACCUGCACGAAUGGCGUAAUGAUGGCCAGGCUGUCUCCACCCGAGACUCAGUGAAAUUGAACUCGCUGUGAAGAUGCAGUGUACCCGCGGCAAGACGGAAAGACCCCGUGAACCUUUACUAUAGCUUGACACUGAACAUUGAGCCUUGAUGUGUAGGAUAGGUGGGAGGCUUUGAAGCGUGGACGCCAGUCUGCGUGGAGCCAACCUUGAAAUACCACCCUUUAAUGUUUGAUGUUCUAACGUUGGCCCCUGACCGGGGUUGCGGACAGUGUCUGGUGGGUAGUUUGACUGGGGCGGUCUCCUCCCAAAGCGUAACGGAGGAGCACGAAGGUUAGCUAAUCCUGGUCGGACAUCAGGAGGUUAGUGCAAUGGCAUAAGCUAGCUUGACUGCGAGCGUGACGGCGCGAGCAGGUGCGAAAGCAGGUCAUAGUGAUCCGGUGGUUCUGAAUGGAAGGGCCAUCGCUCAACGGAUAAAAGGUACUCCGGGGAUAACAGGCUGAUACCGCCCAAGAGUUCAUAUCGACGGCGGUGUUUGGCACCUCGAUGUCGGCUCAUCACAUCCUGGGGCUGAAGUAGGUCCCAAGGGUAUGGCUGUUCGCCAUUUAAAGUGGUACGCGAGCUGGGUUUAGAACGUCGUGAGACAGUUCGGUCCCUAUCUGCCGUGGGCGCUGGAGAAUUGAGGGGGGCUGCUCCUAGUACGAGAGGACCGGAGUGGACGCAUCACUGGUGUUCGGGUUGUCAUGCCAAUGGCACUGCCCGGUAGCUAAAUGCGGAAGAGAUAAGUGCUGAAAGCAUCUAAGCACGAAACUUGCCCCGAGAUGAGUUCUCCCUGAGACUUUAAGUCUCCUGAAGGAACGUUAAAGACGAUGACGUUGAUAGGCCGGGUGUGUAAGCGCAGCGAUGCGUUGAGCUAACCGGUACUAAUGAACCGUGAGGCUUAACCUU
Molecule: ribosomal RNA, 1488 nt
Filed under: Klebsiella pneumoniae CHS 57
Lineage: Bacteria; Pseudomonadati; Pseudomonadota; Gammaproteobacteria; Enterobacterales; Enterobacteriaceae
Description: bacterial LSU rRNA
Rfam family: Bacterial large subunit ribosomal RNA
Source: RNAcentral